This 206-nucleotide ribosomal RNA is filed under the name uncultured bacterium. RNAcentral describes it as "partial 16S ribosomal RNA". It matches the Rfam family "Bacterial small subunit ribosomal RNA", at positions 568 to 774 of the family's 1533-position model. The record is from RNAcentral.
UGCGUAGGUGGCGAUGCAAGUCUGGUGUGAAAUCUCGGGGCUUAACCCCGAAAUUGCAUUAGAUACUGCGUUGCUCGAGGACUGUAGAGGAGAGUAGAAUUCACGGUGUAGCAGUGAAAUGCGUAGAUAUCGUGAGGAAGACCAGUUGCGAAGGCGACUCUCUGGGCAGUUCCUGACACUGAGGCACGAAGGCCAGGGAGCAAACG